Molecule: ribosomal RNA, 390 nt
Filed under: Bacillus subtilis
Lineage: Bacteria; Bacillati; Bacillota; Bacilli; Caryophanales; Bacillaceae
Description: bacterial SSU rRNA
Rfam family: Bacterial small subunit ribosomal RNA
Source: RNAcentral
GUCGAGCGGACAGAUGGGAGCUUGCUCCCUGAUGUUAGCGGCGGACGGGUGAGUAACACGUGGGUAACCUGCCUGUAAGACUGGGAUAACUCCGGGAAACCGGGGCUAAUACCGGAUGGUUGUUUGAACCGCAUGGUUCAAACAUAAAAGGUGGCUUCGGCUACCACUUACAGAUGGACCCGCGGCGCAUUAGCUAGUUGGUGAGGUAACGGCUCACCAAGGCAACGAUGCGUAGCCGACCUGAGAGGGUGAUCGGCCACACUGGGACUGAGACACGGCCCAGACUCCUACGGGAGGCAGCAGUAGGGAAUCUUCCGCAAUGGACGAAAGUCUGACGGAGCAACGCCGCGUGAGUGAUGAAGGUUUUCGGAUCGUAAAGCUCUGUUGUUA